GGGGCUAUAGCUCAGAUGGGAGAGCGCCUGGAUCGCACCCAGGAGGUCGGGGGUUCGAGUCCCCCUAGCUCCACCA
RNAcentral lists this transfer RNA (76 nucleotides) under Solirubrobacterales bacterium. RNAcentral's name for it is "tRNA-Ala". It matches the Rfam family "tRNA". From Rfam's summary of the family: Transfer RNA (tRNA) molecules are approximately 80 nucleotides in length. Their secondary structure includes four short double-helical elements and three loops (D, anti-codon, and T loops). Lineage: Bacteria; Bacillati; Actinomycetota; Thermoleophilia; Solirubrobacterales. The record is from RNAcentral. RNAcentral also lists the same sequence under 2 other names.